This 252-nucleotide ribosomal RNA is filed under the name uncultured bacterium. RNAcentral's name for it is "partial 16S ribosomal RNA". It matches the Rfam family "Bacterial small subunit ribosomal RNA", at positions 525 to 776 of the family's 1533-position model. The record is from RNAcentral.
ACGAAGGGGGCUAGCGUUGCUCGGAAUGACUGGGCGUAAAGGGCGCGUAGGCGGUAUGGACAGUCAGGUGUGAAAUUCCCGGGCUUAACCUGGGGACUGCAUUUGAUACGUUCAAACUAGAGUGUGGAAGAGGGUCGUGGAAUUCCCAGUGUAGAGGUGAAAUUCGUAGAUAUUGGGAAGAACACCGGUGGCGAAGGCGGCGACCUGGUCCAUUACUGACGCUGAGGCGCGAAAGCGUGGGGAGCAAACAGG